Molecule: unclassified non-coding RNA, 222 nt
Filed under: Hevea brasiliensis (rubber tree)
Lineage: Eukaryota; Viridiplantae; Streptophyta; Magnoliopsida; Malpighiales; Euphorbiaceae
Source: RNAcentral
AACAGUGGUUCUCAUUCUGGAAAUCAUGUUAUUGCUCCUCGAAACCGUCCUAGUCUUGUUCGUCUGCUUGACUUUACAAAGGAUGUAAAUUCUGCAAUGGAGGCAUCUAGAAAAGCACAGAUUGCUUUUGCAGCUGCCACAAACGUUGGAGAGGCAGAGAAUAAGGACGCUUUCAUUUCAGUUAAACGGGUUAUUGACUUCAGUUUCCAGGAUGUAGAGGAG